GAGAGAAGAACCACUGAGAAUUCGUGUGGUCCCAGAUAUACAGCAGGUUCCAUUGGCCCCAUACUCCUGAACCUUCUACAUUAGUCGUCCUUGGAGAUCAUCACCUUCCUUCUCACCCACUCACUUAUGAGAACAAGGGAAGUUCGUGCAGCAUGGAAGACGGAUCCAGGAGAGGAGAAGCAGCCACGACUGCAGAGAGUAAAUGUGCACUUCCAUGUCGACUGUGCACGUGUGCACAAACGGGAACAAGAACCUAGACACACAGACGUGUGUCCAAGCAG
This 281-nucleotide long non-coding RNA is filed under the name Rattus norvegicus (Norway rat). RNAcentral's name for it is "long non-coding RNA NONRATT033270". Lineage: Eukaryota; Metazoa; Chordata; Mammalia; Rodentia; Muridae. The record is from RNAcentral.